CGUGGAGAACCUGCCGUAUACUGGGGGAUAACACUUAGAAAUAGGUGCUAAUACCGCAUAAGCGCACAGCUUCGCAUGAAGCAGUGUGGAAAACAAAAAGCUAAAGCUUUUGGUGGUAUACGAUGGAUCCGCGUCUGAUUAGCUAGUUGGCGGGGUAAAGGCCCACCAAGGCGACGAUCAGUAGCCGGCCUGAGAGGGUGAACGGCCACACUGGGACUGAGACACGGCCCAAACUCCUACGGAAGGCAGCAG
Molecule: ribosomal RNA, 252 nt
Filed under: uncultured bacterium
Lineage: Bacteria
Description: partial 16S ribosomal RNA
Rfam family: Bacterial small subunit ribosomal RNA
Source: RNAcentral